AUGAGAACACCACCACCUUUUCCAAGCUGAGCCAAGGAGUCUCCAGCCACCUUGCUUUCUUCUGGUUUAGAACCUGUUGAUAGAUUCACAUUAAGGAGAAAGUUAGAACAUGAAUCUGAAAAAAGGAACAGGUAAAAUAACUACUUUAUGAUUGUUAAAGAAGAGGCAGCAGAUCAUAUUGGUAAAAAGCACAGUUGAGAGAAAACCUAAGAGCAUAAGCCAACUAACAAAAAUGCUAAAAAGACUUCAUGAUCAUUUCCAUCCUGUCUUGUUUUAAUUUGGAGAGAAAAGAAAAGAAAGUGAAGGAAAACAAAAAGAAGUGGUGUCUUUGAGCUUUUUAAUAAAAGAGAAAAGAAAAGAAAACUAAAGAAAGUGGUGUCUAUAAGUUUUAGGAGAAAGUUAGUUCUUUUUUAUUCAAAAAUUUUCUUCUCACUUUUGGGAAGAAAGCUAGAGAAAAGAAAGUAAAACUUUCUCUUCUCUUCCCUUCCUCUUCUUUAACUUUCUUUUCUUCUCUUUUUACAACUAAAAAACUCCCAGACAGGUUAGUAGGAAAGACGACUAACGUAAAGGGAAAAGGUAAACAGGAUGAAAGAGGCAAACUAAAAAAAAGAAAAGUUCCCUUUCUUCUCCACGUGUUUGGUCAUGCAUGAAAAAGAUGUACCGUUUACUUUCACAGUUGUUUCUUCAAACAAAGAAGGAUGAAGAUAAAAGGUACGGAGGAAGGAAUGAAAUCCCUAAAAAGGAAAUGAUCAUAUUUUUCUCCUUGUGAUUAGUUAAGAGGAAAGAAAGGAGGGGAAGAGCCGAAGAGGUAUCAUUCUAAGGUAAAAUGGUUAAGGAAAAAAAAGGAAGAAGGCACUCAUUAUUUGAGGGUAAAAUGGUCAAGGAAAACGGCAUCCUCCUUCCUUUACCCUUUACUUCCACUUUUUCCUUUUCCCUCACCUUUCCCUCUCCUUCCAAGCAAAGGAAAGACUAUCCAGUGAAUCUUCUGUUCUCAUCUCUCAUAUGCAUCUAAUUUAGAAGAUGCCGGAUUUCACCAAUGGGGUUGUUAACGAGUAUAAGUUGCUAAAGUAUAAAUUCACUUUCAUGGAAGUCAUUUCAUAGCAUUGCAAAUAUAAACAAGGGAGAAAAGAUGCAACCUCAGACCAGAGUUGCCAGAUAUUCUCAGACUUAGCGAACUGUGUAUUGGUACUUGCGUACCCAAAUAGGGCACUCUCACGUACCAAUAUUCUAAAUUAGUGUACCCAAAAAAUUCUUUAUUGUUUAACCUAUAAUUGCAUAAAUAUCAAUAUUAUAACUUAGUAUUGGAUGUUCAAAUAUUACACUUGUACUAAAUAUUUUAUAAAAUAAUUAACUUGUUAAUUUAACUAAAAAUCUUCUAUAAAACUAAAGUUUAUUACAUUUAGAUUCUAAGAGUUUGAUGAGUGCAUAAUAUUCUAUGAUUAUGAUUCUUUUAUGUUUAGUUUUAUUGCAUGUUUCAUAUAUAUAUGAGCUUAUUAAGGUGUUUAAUGAUUUCAGGAAGAAUUGAAGCUGGAGCGAGGAAAAAAGAAAAAUUGCAUGGUUUUUAGCACUAAGUUGGAUGCAUGGUCUUGACUUGGGACUUGGAUUUUAUUGUAGUUAUUCUUUAGAUUUCCAGAACAUCUUGAAUCGUCCCAAACAGAGUUCAUAUGAAAAAGUUAUGACCUUUUUACCAAACGGACAUUGAACCUCAAAGUUUGGAGUUGCAAUUUACAUAGCAGUCACUUGGAGCCCAAUUUCAACCUUGAUUCAGUCAGAAUCUGUCAAUUCUCAAAGAAUAAAAGUUGUAGAUCUCGUCAACAACUUCGAUUUGAUAGGUAGCAGGCCCCAUAACUCCUCCCGGAUCAAAAGUUAUGGUUGUUUUAUCAAAGAACAUCGCAGCAAGAAAUGGAAAUUCGCCCCAGCGAAUUUGAGUGGAAAAUUUUGGAAAUCUUAGAUUUUUGAAAAGUUUCUAAAAGCAUAUUUUGGCAAACUUCUACAUGGA
Molecule: long non-coding RNA, 1999 nt
Filed under: Panax ginseng (ginseng)
Lineage: Eukaryota; Viridiplantae; Streptophyta; Magnoliopsida; Apiales; Araliaceae
Description: long non-coding RNA (PGIN_LNC010186)
Source: RNAcentral